CGGCAACGGCCGGGCGCGAGAGCCUCCCGUGUGAAUAUGUAUGAGCCUUCCUCGGAGUAAACAGAGCUCGCUAUUGGUUGGAGCUCUGUGACGUCACAGGCGCGCUCCGCCUCAUAAGCCGGGCGGGGAGCCCAUUCCCGGCUGUUCUGAGGCGGGCGCUGCGCCGAGUGGAGCGGCUGGGGCGGGCUCGGUGCUGCGGUGUGUGGCGGGUGUCCCUGGGUUCCUGCUGUUAUAUCCUCAGCUACUGGGCAAUGCAUCUUCCCAGAGAGACACCCAAGCACAGGCUUGUUGGGAGCUGUUCUUAAGCUGGACUUCUUGGCUGAAAUACAUAUCCCAUAAUGCUUGAUGGACAUGGACUCUUACAGCACGUUUUGUCUUUCACCCAUGGGGGAGAGUUUUCAGUGGUCCCUUGAGCUGAUGAGGUCUCUUCGUGUUUAUCACCUGCAUAUUUAACAGCUGCCUUCCUGCUUCGGUGCCAAUGCGUUUUAAGUGAAUAGUAGUCAGCUAUGAAGUGAAGAAUUACAAAGCACAAGGUAAGAAUUACAAGCUUGAUUAAUUAUGAGAAGAUGAAAGACAAGAAUCGCGUUCAAGAUUUUUCCAUCAAGGUCUGUUUGAGCAGUAGGCCUGGUUUCAUCAACAUCUACAAAGGAUUUAUCACUUUUGUAUCAGAACUUAAAAACUGAUUUGUUCCUUUUGCAGGGGGGGGGGGGGAAGCGUUCACCCUAAGUUAGGGGGAAAGUCUCAGAGUCCUACAUCAAAGAGAACUGAGAGGUUCAGGAGACAGUUUAGCAGGCAAGGGGGCAGAGACUGUAGAAGGUUCUGUGUGAUAAAAUGCCAAACACCAGAAGUUACCUAAAAGUCAAAUGAGGAAACUGGUAGGAGGAAGGAAAGUGGGAAUGACUGAGGGCAGCUGGCAUUGCAGGGUCAGCUGCAGCUCUGAUCAGGCCUUGUUGUAAGUACUUUGAGAUAAAGUCCUAGGACUUGGCUGCAACAAAGCAUGAGUGCGAUGUUACUCCAAGGGGAAAACAGUGAGCUAUUUUCCUAGGGAAGUCAGAAAGGAGACUUUAGAUCACAAGUUUUGUGCUUUGGUAAAUGAGUAGUUGGUGAUUAAGGCUUCCUGUUUUCAUAUUAAUUUCUGUGUUCUGCAAAGGGUAUUUUUAAAAGUCAUUUGAUUCAACAUCGGUGAGGGGUUGAAGUACAGCUCCUUAAAUAGCCAGCAAUACUUUCUCUGUAAGUUCCUGGCUGAGGAACAAGGCUUUACCUAGUGCUUAUUAAUGACGCUGAUAAACUGGACUGCUUCAUUGCUGCUAAUGAAGACCUGGCAGAAGGGUUAAAUCCAGAUGUAAAGUAAGCCUCUGGGAAGAAACUGGAUGAGUUUAUUACAUGGUAGAUGAGAUCAAGACAGGGUUUGUUUGUUUCUUGUUCAACAUUUUUUAAAAUACCGUGUUCCUGGUGUUUUAUCUAGCUUGUUUCCAUAAACUAUUCAAAAUGGGGGGGGAGGCCAUGGUUGUUCUUUCACUUUCGAAUACAAUGCUAAUGUGUUCAGAGAGCUUUUCAGUGAAGGGAAAAGAACUUUAGAUAAAACCCAAAAUCUAAAGAUUGUCUUACACAUAAUUCAUUUUCUGACUUAAGGAACUCAGACUUCAGUGAAAAAAACACUGUCAACAUAAAUGAUGGAAUGAGGUUUUUUGUUCCCAGGAGUUGGGUGUAUUGAGGAUUUUUUGGAUAUGAUUGAGGAUCUGGAAUCAUAGCAAGACAUUACAAUGAAUGUUUUUAGCUCAGUGUACUGAAUCUGAAAGUUAAUGAGUGUACUGCUCUUUUGAAAUGGUAAUAAUGAAUUUGUGUAAAGUGCAAUAGUUGGAGGAUCUUGACUCCAUUCUAGCAAAAGCUGACACUUUGAGAAUUUUUUUUUAAAGGCAGUGAUCUUAUUAAUACUCUUGUAUCAAUCUCUAUGUGAAUCUAUAUUUUGAAUCCAUGUCACCAACAAUGAAGUAGAAUGAGACAAGUCAGAUGUUUAGCUGAGAGUGUCAAUAGGAUGAAAAUAAGGACUUGGAGAGGGGCAUUAUGUUUGUAUGACUGAAAAAGAAUAGAAGGCAAGAUGAUUUGCAAACAGAGGGUGAAAACUGGAUAGGUCACAUCAAUACCUGGAGGUGUUUGUUAGGGAGAAUAUAAGCCCUAAGUGCUGAAAAUUGAAUUUUAGAAUUGGGACCAUCCAGAUACUUACAAGAGAGAAAAGGAAGCAGUUAAUUGUAUUGUAUGUAGCCCUUGUGAGAGCUGUGAAGAACACUUUGCAUGACUUAGGCUGUCAGUUUUCAGGACAAGUGUAUUCAAACCAAAUCACAUGUACAGAACAGCCACUGAGAUUAUCUGGAAAAUGGAUGGCUUAUCAUAUCAGAGAACACUUAAAAGAUUUGGUUUGUUUGGGCUGGGUAAAUAAAGGCUAAAACAAGAUAUGAUUGCCUAUAAAGACACCAAGGGAGUAAACUACAGGGACCAGAAAAGUAAAAUACUGCAUAAGCUGAAGGUCAAUAUUAGCAGUGUUACCAGAGGGCAUGAAUAAAUUCAGGUUGAGAAAAAGUGAUAGUCCAUGAUGUGGUUUUCUGCAGCACCUGGGGUUUGGAAUGGAAGGUUGAAAGUACUGUGUGCACCCUGUGCUCUGAUGAGUCUCAAAUUGAGAAGCUGGGUAGGUUAUGCUGUCUUUUGAAAGAUGCGGAUCCAUCAUCCAAUUCUGUUUUAGCCCAUAUCUAAAGCACAGGCUUCUGUCCUUAGCUUACUUUAUGAACAGUAUGUAAACAACAUUCCAUGGAUUGGAAAUGAGUUUCCUCAUGAAAAUUUUCAAAGAUUUGAGAAAUUUACUCACUCCCUAGUAGAAUGAAGCAGAACCUCUGCAGAUUUUCUUUGAAAGUAAUAAGGAAGAGCAACUCAUUUAGAAAAGGUGAAUAUGUGACUCCAUAGAUUUUUGCACAGCUGGAGUAAUAAAACCAGGGAGCUUAGUAAUGGUGUGGUGAAUUACAGCUCCUCACUGUUGUUUGUUGGAAGAGUCUGGAUGCAAGUGGAGAGGAGGGAUCACAGCUGCACCUGUUGAUUUCUGUGGUGUGUUGGCCUGUAAUGUAAGCAGCCUAAUCUGGACAACUGAGCAAAUCCAACCAUUUUAGGUGUGCAGCAAGAUUACAGGGGUGUUUUCAGGACACUAACAGUUGCCUAAGGAGUCAGCCACCUUGCUGCUCUCAUUUGAUAAAUGUGGCUUAAUAAUUAAUUUCUAACUGGAGGAGAUAUUACUUCUCUAGCUUGUUGAAGCAUGGACAAGGAAUUUGCUGACUCAGGUGUACAUUAGGGAGCUAAGCUGCUCAGCUUCCUUAUUGCUCAUGAAUCAGUUGAGGAAGUAUUGCAAGGAGGCUUUGUUUUGUUGUUUUUUGGGUUUUUUUGUUUCUUUUCUUUUUUUCAAGAGAUAAUGCAUUUUCAGUUUUGGUACGUAGCUCUACAGUAUAGUUUUUGUUUCCUGGGUCGUACCCUGGACGUUAUGCAUACGACACAAAGCUCAGAGCCUCAAUUUUGAAGCAUAGCAACCAUAGCUAAAAUGAAAACUGUUAGAUUAGCUGAAGCUACAAACGGAGGAUGUUGAGCAUUCUUAAUAAGUUGUUUAUCCUAAUGAGGCAAAUAUUUUUUUUCAAAUUUAAUUUUAAAUAUAUGAAGCCUUUCUUAUUUUCUGUGGGCUAUGGAAAUGGCUUGUCAUGUUCCAGAUUCUUCUGAUGGUCUCUUAAUUUACUUCCAGACAUGGGGUGGGUGGGGGCAGGAAACAAAGAAACAAGGUUUGUUGUUUAUGGUUUUGCUUUUUGUUUGUUUGUUUAAUUUAAAAAGGCUGAUAGGUUGUCAGAUUGUAGUUGAUUUCCUGCCCCUGAACAACCUGUGGGAAUUACUCCUUUGCCUAGGAAAACUCACAAGAAAUUGAGAGAACCUGCUUACAGUGUAACCAGUGCCAGUAUAAAAGAUGUUUAACAGUGUGCACAAAAAAAAAAAGAAAAUAAAAGAAACAAAAAAGAAACUUUCAAGUUGACCUAUUUUAUUCAAGACUUCAUGGGAUACUCAUUUACUUGACCUUUGAGAACAUCUGAGUGAGAUUAUGAUGAGUAAUUAGUGGUAGGUCUGGAACAGGGCAUCAGGUCAAACAGAUGAAACCCCCACUUGUUCUGGAGUUUAUAUAGCACACAUAGGCUCAUGUAAAUUCUGGGGAUACAACACAGUCCCAAACACAAAGUCCCAACUACUCCUCCUUUCUCAGAGAUGUUAUUUCCUCUUCUAUGGAACACAAACUUACUUUUUCUUUAACCUCUUGCUUUCUAUUGAAACACAAUCCAAUCAAAUAACUUAUAUUCCCCUAGUUCUAUGAGACUACUCUGGAAAAUCUUUUGCACGUUUUUGUAAAUUUAGACACAAUGAACCUCAAGUAGUUGCAUUCAUACCAUACUAUAAAGUCUCAGCCUUGGUGAAAUUGUGGCUUGCAUGAAUAUGGUCUUACCAGCCCUGUGAAAACAGCAGUGUUUUUUGUGAUGUGAUACCAGUGAGAUCUGAUGGAGGGGGUUUUGACAAAUUUCAAGUCUGGAUUUGGAAUUAGGUUGUUUUAACUGUGGUAGAAUGAGCUAUAUUUAGUUUUUAUCUGUGACAUAAAGUGAUGAGGAAAUUGCUUUGAUUGUCUUGAUUUCAUGAUAAAAUGCAUGUUUAACAGGAUGUAUUUCUCCCCAUAAAUGAAAUAGGAAUUCUGUAUAACUCAACAUGAUUGGUGACCUACAUUUCAAACCCUCUAUUUUUAAUAAUACUAUGAAAUUGUACAUCUCUCUUUUUAAAAAUCAUAUUUUUCAAUUUCCAUCUCUCAAAAGACAAGAAUUUCUGACUAAGAAUAUGCUCUUUAUUUUUCCCCACAACAUUCUUCCAGUUUUAUUUGAAUCUUGUCUUAAUUUUAGUUUGCCACGUGAGCAAAGCAGCACUUUAUCACUGUUCACAAAGCCAAGUCUGUGUGUGAUUAUGUAACACACAUGUGCUCCAAGGGUCUCCAAAUAGAAUUCAAAUGUUCCUAAAUCCAGCUGUGUAGAACAGGACUGACUUUGUUUCCUGUUGUCCUUUAAGCUCUGAGGAUAUUUUGAUAGAAGCUUCAUUCCUUGUGUGUUGCUGUGUUGUACCCAGACUAGAACACAGGGUUGAAGCACUGAGAUAUUUAGCCAUGUUUUUAAAUGAAAUGGAGUCUGAUGGGAGAUUUGCUGUGUAACUUGAAUUCAUGUGUUUAGAGGAAAAGUUACUGUCCAUUAUGCAACAGUUAUUUCCAGAAUAGCAGGUUAAUGGUGAAAUGGAUCUAAGGUUAUGAUACCUACUGCUUUCUUAAGGUAAACAUACACUUAAUUUAAGAAUGUAUUAUUCUCAGAGCUCAAUAAGUAACAAGGAUUUAUCACGGUAAAAACACUGCUUGUCGUUUAAACAACAACAAACCCCUCUAGGUCAUAAUCCAACUCCCCUGUGAUUAUCAGGCUGAGACCUUACAGAAGAACUACUGAUGGAACCCUCACAAAGAGUAUGUCCAAGCCACCUUCGAAAUAUAUGUAUGAAAAGAAGUUCAAAAUACACUAGUGAGCAUGAUGAGAAAAAAGGUACAUGGCAUUUACAGGAAACAGUCCUUCCAUACUAUAUAAGAGAGUUACUAAAACCAGUUGCGGCGAUAUAUAUUUAAAUUGCUGAGGGGGCAGAGGGUGGGAAUCCUGAUGUCUGAACAUACGUUCAAUGUUAGAAGUGAGACUUUCAGUUUCACCUAAUUUAUAUUUAGUGUGAACAGAUGGGAAUUUUUUUCCUAAUUGUGUGAUUCGCCUUUAGGAAUGCCAUCCUAAAGUGAGUCCGAGACACUGUCUUCUGUGACUUAGGUAUUAGAAAGGACUGGAAAUCUGAGGAUAUGCUGAUACUUUUCCUUCAAGAUUUUCAUAGAACAGCAAAUAAAUUGUACUAUGCAUGUCCAACUUUCUUCUAUAAACGUAAUGAACACCUAUAGAAAAUGAAUCAUGAAAACUGCUGGAUUGCCAGUGAAUGAAGAUACACUUGGCUUUUUCUGUUUCUUUUGCUAGACAGCAUAUAGAGGAACUAACAAAGGGUUCUUGAUACAUCAUGGCAAACAUUAACAUAUACUCAUUGAAAACUGUUCUCUUGCAUUUUUUGCAUUCUCCUGCUUGUACUCAUUAGUGAGAUUUUCUAAAAGGAGGAACUGUGUUUUCAAAAUCAGAUUAUAAAUGUAUCCUGAAAACCUUUGUGCAUGAAGAAUUUUUCAGCAGUGCCAAUUGCUGAUGUCUUUUCAGAAACAUCCUUGAUUCUGCUUGUGACAUCAGGAUGGCUGGCUGUAAAAGUUAUUCUUUCAAUCUCAGCCUAGUUCUGCAAAAAAAUUAUUAGAAAAAUAACUUAGAAAUAUAGAUUUUUUUUCCUCAUUUUUGUCACUGCUUAGAAGAAACAAAAUUAUUGCUUAAGCAGUAUGUUGCUCAUACAUGUUUAAACAACACUGGUGUAUAAUGCUGCAAAGGGGCAUGUACCAUUCUGUCAAUAAUAUGCAGCAGUCUGUAAAAAAACAAACAACAAACAAAACCCCAGCUGAACAGAAGACAGCCUUGUAUUUCACCAGGUCACAUAAACAUAUCCACUAUUUUGACUACAGUUUCUGAGAACUUCAACAUUUGGAAUUUGGAUUGCUAUCUCAACAGAGACUUGACUCAAUUGACCUUAAUUGUCUUUGACCAGGCAUCAAACAGUGGCUAUACCGAGUGACUUCUCACACUGAAUUGGAGGUGAUGCAUGUGUGGGAAUGAGAUACUUGAGUUUGAAUGAAACUGAGCAAUUCUCAAACAAUGUGACCCUUCCAGUUCCUCAGACUCUAUGUGGAAUCUAAUGCAUACUAAAUGUAAUCAGCUAUAGUUCAGUGUUGGCUAAUCUUCAACUGAAAUCAAUAAAUCAGUCUGGACAGGGAGAGAUUAGGGAAGUCAGAAAAAAGUACUGUGAUGUUUGAUUUUGUAGUCUUUUUGAGAGCUCAGAUAAUGGAGACAUCAAUUAAAACAGGAUAAACAUCAAGCUGCUUCCAGUGCAAUAACCUUUUCCUUUCUUCAAUGGGACUGUGAAUUUAGCUUUACAUAAAGCUGCCAAAUCAUUUGUUUAUAUCCAGUGUAUCCCAGAUGGGGCCAGUGAAACCUCCAGUGUUCAAAGUUGUUUUGUAGAAAGCGGAAUGUAGAUUUUGAGUGAAAACCUCAAUGUUCAAGCCUGCUUUACAGAAAGCAGUGUUUUUUUUCCAUCUCCUUCACUUUCCAUGGUUCAUUCCAAUUAUAUCAGCAUGACUUCAACAUUCAGAAUGAAAAUGGGUUGUGAUGUGUGAGGGAAAAACUUCCAUUUGUAUGAAACUGUGCAAACCUCAAGAAAUGUGUCAUUUCCAGUUCCUCAGACUCUAAAUGGAACCUAAGCAUCCUAAUCUCCUAUGGAACCUAGGCUUGCUAUCUCCUAAGUGUCAACUGAUAAUUUCUUCUGUGGGGUGAAACUACAAUAUUUAUCCAUCGACCUUUAUCGUUGAGGCUGUUUCAUGUCAAUAUACUUUUUUCCCUCCUCUGCCUUGUAAUUCAAUAGACUUGUUAAGUACCACAUCGUCACCUUUUUCAGAUGUGGUUUUGUGGUGUGUAACUUCUUCCAGGACAAAGGGGAUAUUUUUUUUCCCAGCCUUGUUUUAUAGGCCCCAGAUGAUGAUGCCUCCAGUAGUCAGAGGUACCAUCACUGAGGCUCUUGUUUAACAGAUAAAGUAUAUGCUAAAUCAGAACAUCGGUUGAGAAGUGAUUUGGCAGUGAGUUUGUCCUCAAAACUAGAGAGUAGGUUGGCUCUUCUGGUUCUAAGGGCCUGUAGUCUUGGGCUGGUAGAUGAGAGAGAAUUACAUGAAGAGCUUUAUGUGCUUGUGCUCUGCUCCACAACAGAUGUGAUCAUUUGGCUAUAGCUCAGAAAAUUCACAGGCAUCUUAUUAGAAAAGUGAGCCAAAACGCAACACUCUCUGAUAGUUGAUGGUGAUUUCUUACAUUGUUUUUUUUUUUUCAUACUCCACGAUUAUUCUGCAAGAAGGCAUAGCCAGCUGUGAGACAGAUGGAGCCACAUAUGUUUCCACAACCAAGAGAGAGGUUUGUGUACAGAGCUACAGUCAGGAAUAAGGCUGAGUGAAUGAUACCAAAGGCUAUUCAUACAGAGAUGUCUGGAUUUAUACAUAAAUUCACUUGGAUUGUAUGGAUGGUUGGUUGUUUUUGUGUUAACUUUCUGAUUAUAAUAGUGAUUUUCUUGCAAUUAAGUUUAUAAAGCUGUAAAUAUUGAAGAAGUACUUGGAGAUUAUUCCUGUCAGCAGUCUGAAUUCAAGAAUAUUGUAUGACUUGUGCGUGUGGUCUCUUUCCCAAACUGGAGGUUGCUGUUCCACCUUCCUCCUUCUCCCCAUAACCAACAGUACCUUGCUGCCAUCACCACCUAGAAAAGUCUAGUGCGGGAAGAGAUGCCAUGUUCUUUUCCUCCCUCACUUGCUGUAGCACUGAAAAGCUCUGCAAAAUGAGAUUAGAUCUACUGCUGUGCUGAGCCUUCAGGAUCAGCUGAAUAUGAGGAUGGUUUCAUUGUUGAUUUGUUGGGGCCUUCUUUUCUCCCUUACAUCAGUCAGAGCACAGAAGAGCAGCAGAGGUGGGAAGGUAGAGAAGAGUCACCAGCCAGGUUCCUGCUUGCUUGCUGUAGCUUCAAGUAGAGGGAAGAAACUUUAUUCAGCAGUACUGUGAUUCCAGUCAGCAGUACCCUUGGGCACUGGGCAGAGUGACAGGCAGGCCAAUCAGGGAACACCCAACUAUACU
Molecule: long non-coding RNA, 8870 nt
Organism: Columba livia (rock pigeon)
Lineage: Eukaryota; Metazoa; Chordata; Aves; Columbiformes; Columbidae
Exons: 4
Source: RefSeq, a predicted model, not a curated record